AGAGGAUCUCCACUACUAAACGAAUUUAAAUUAACUUAUGUAUUUAAAUGUUCCUGUAGUUGAAAAUGGCUCCACGCAUCAGUCCCCUUAAAGAUGCCAGGAAUCAUGUGAUUGCAAAGACGGACAAAACUUGCAUGUUGGAUGUGCAGUAGGCUACAUCAAUGCAUUGAAAGGAAAGAUAUUAAAUGUGGGGAUUUCUCAGUUAAUAAUUGCUAUCAUAUACAAUAUUAAUGACAUGCAAUCGGUUAUGUCAAAUCAGCUGCAAUCUAUUGUCAGUUUUUGUGUUAUCAAUCCUUUUUAGACAAUAUUUGCAUUUGUAAAACAUUACGGUUAACUUAUUUUUAAACCAAAAUGGACAUGCAUGCUUUCUUUUUAUGGUGCAAAUGUUUUUUUUACAGGUCGUGGUGUAUUUGCAAAGGGUUCCAUUUCUCAAGGAGAUUUCGUUCUCGAAUACAGGGGAGAAUUCCUGUUGUUGAAGCCCAGAGAAGGAGGCUGAUAUACCACGAAUCAUGUACUGCAUUCAUGUUUAGGUGGAGAGGGAAAACAUGGUGUAUCGAUGCCGCCAGAGAUGACGGUUCACUUGGGCGCCUCGUUAACGACGAACACAGGCGUCCAAACUGUAAAAUGAAAAAUAUUGAUGUCAAUGGAAGCCCACAUCUUUGUUUGUUUGCCCUUAUGGACAUAAAACAAGGAGAAGAAAUUUCAUACGAUUAUGGAGGUGAAGACUGCCCAUGGAGAACAGAAACGACCACAGUUGGACCAAAUGCACUGCUGGUAGAAGAUUUGCAUACUGUUGUCCUGGCAAAUACCGAAGUGGGUGAUGCUACUCAUCCAAACAUCGCUCAACAGAUGACCACAGUUGGAGACGAUGCCCUGCUAGAUGGGGGCUCGAAACCUGUCCUUUCAAAUACCGAAGGGGAUGAUGAUGCU
Long non-coding RNA from Gadus chalcogrammus (walleye pollock), 930 nucleotides. RefSeq lists it as uncharacterized. NCBI's taxonomy places the organism in Eukaryota, Metazoa, Chordata, Actinopteri, Gadiformes, Gadidae. The transcript has 4 exons. The record is from RefSeq and is a predicted model, not a curated record.